This is an RNA transcript of Dioscorea cayenensis subsp. rotundata (Guinea yam), 2328 nucleotides long. It is a transcript of the gene named UBP1-associated protein 2B-like, with no coding region annotated. The record is from RefSeq and is a predicted model, not a curated record. NCBI's taxonomy places the organism in Eukaryota, Viridiplantae, Streptophyta, Magnoliopsida, Dioscoreales, Dioscoreaceae. The transcript has 4 exons.
UAAGCACCCGCCGAUCAUCUCCUCCCCUUCGUUCCCAACCUCUCCCCUAAAACCCUAGACAAACUCCCCAAGCUCCGAAACCCUAACCAUGGCUUCCAAAAAGAGAAAAGCUGAUCAAGAAUCCGAUCUCAUUCCGCAAUCCGCGCACAACCAUCAGGAAGCCGUGGAGGAUGAACUCUUUGACGAGGACGAGGACAUCGGAAAGCUCUUGGAACCCCUCUCUCGAGAACAACUCGUUGAUCUUCUCCGCCGGGCUGCGACCUCGGACCCUGCUAUCCUCUCUGAGAUCCAGCGCCUCGCCGACGCUGACCCCGCUCACCGGAAGUUAUUCGUCCAUGGCCUUGGCUGGGAGACGACCACCGAUACUCUCCGCUUGAUCUUUUCCAGAUACGGUGAGCUCGAUGACUGCCGCGUCGUUGUCGAUAAGGGCAGUGGUCGAUCCAAAGGCUAUGGCUUUGUCCUUUUCCACCACCGCCGUUCCGCCCGCGCCGCCCUACGGCAGCCCCAGAAACUCAUUGAAGGCCGUAUGACCGCCUGCCAGCUUGCCUCUGCUGGCCCCCCUCAAACUCCUGCUCCAAACCCUAACACGAAUCCUAACCCUAGCAGCAACCAUGAUAACCUACCGAGAAAGAUCUAUGUUGGUAAUGUCCACUCCGAUAUCGAUGGCAGUCGGCUGCGUAGCUUCUUUGGGAGGUAUGGCGAGAUCGAGGAGGGUCCCAUUGGAUUCGAUCGCCAGACAGGGAAACCAAAGGGCUUCGCUUUAUUCGUGUAUAAAACCCUAGAAGGAGCUCGCAAAGCCUUGGAAGAGCCAAACAAGAAUUUUGAAGGUCAUAUUCUUUUCUGCCAGAAGGCUACUGAUAGUAAUAAAUCAAGGGGCAGUGUUGCACCCCCGGCUCCAGGCUCUGUGGCUCCCAAUGCUAUGGCUGCUGUGCCCAUUGGCAAUACUGGUGGGUAUGAUGCUCCUGGAUUUGGCGCCACAGUGCCGGACAUGGGAUUGGCCCAGCAGGCAGCAAUGCUUGGGCAAGGUUUGCUCGGGGGCAUGCAGCCAAAUGCUGCUGCCCUGGCUGUUCUAGCAGCCGCUGGGCAGAACCCUGCCGCAUUUGGAAUUAACCCAGCUAUGCUUGCGCAGUUCAACCCUGCUCUGGCAGCUGCUGCAGCGUUAGGUGCUGGAGGGUUGGGUACAGGAGCGCAGUCUGUGGUCAACCCUUCAGCGGUACCGCCAACACAGUCAAUGCAAGGUUAUGGGAUGGCAAGUUCUGGAUAUCAGAGUGUAGGUUAUCAGGGGCCGCCAGGAUUCCAGGGCCAGCCUCAGAUGCCUCAGUCAGGUGGUACUGGUACCGGUGCUAGUGCUUACCAGGGUGGCCCCAUUGGGCAGGGUCCAAACCCGAGGCCACCAGUUGGACAGAUGGGAGGAUAUGGAGCGCAUUAGGGUGAGGUUUCAUCAAUGUCAAUUCCAUCCGUCGAAAGAUUCUUUACAACCCUUUUCUUGACUAUGAUCUUUCAUCGCACAGUACCAGGUAUGUUUGGACGACCCUCUUUCCAAAGGAGACCAGGCCAUUUCAUGUCAAGCAAUCUGAUUAACUUGUUCUGAUCCUGGCAUCAGACAGUUUGUAUUAGGAGCGGAAUAAUCUGACUCCAAGGAGGAAACUGAAGGUUCAACUUAUCCACACAGAUGAAACAUUUUGAAGCAGGGCUUCAUAAAUCGAGGAUUUUACCAACUCCUUUUUUUCUUGGGAUGACAAACAUGUAAAAUCAUUGGCUUUAUAAAUUUUUUUGCUUACAUUCUUAUUUUCGUGAAGUAUUUUCCGCUACUUAGUUCACAACAUGAUUGUUGUGGAGGUACAUCCUUUUACCAUUUUUAGCAUUCUAAAUUCCAAAGUCAAUUUGGUCCUUCUGGAACCAGGAAUGAUCAAAUUCUAGCUACUAUAUGUAGGGCGUCUUUCUAAGGCCAGUCUUUCAUGGAAAUCAUUAUUUACCUACUAGCUGAUCUCAUCUUAUUUCCUCUGGCAGGAUCUGAACAAGAAGCUGAUUGUGUUGAUAAAAUAUAAAUUUCAGCAUGAACUCUGAAGAGGAGCAUAGUGUCAGAGGUUACUGGUUCAAGUGGAUAGAAGAGCUGGAGGUAAUUCAGAGAAGAAAGGAAAACAGGGGAGGAAGAGGAAGGAAUAGGUUAGGGAAAGGAGGAAGACACAGUGAAUUGAGGAAUUCCUGGCCAAAGAUGCUUUUUAUUAUAGCAAAUCAAAGGGGUAUUUUCUUCUGUGCGUACCUAAGUAUAUACUUAUUUCACUUUGAGCACCUUAUUUCGAUUUGUAUCAAUUUGAGCAUCGCAAU